Molecule: long non-coding RNA, 1605 nt
Filed under: Sus scrofa (pig)
Lineage: Eukaryota; Metazoa; Chordata; Mammalia; Artiodactyla; Suidae
Description: lncRNA (ENSSSCG00000057290.1, ENSSSCG00110014108.1, ENSSSCG00175041235.1)
Source: RNAcentral
GAGUUCCCGGAAGUCGCCAACGUCUGUGGCGAGCGGAGCGUUGAGUUCAGUGCCUGCGACUUAGGCGCACUAGCCCCGCCUUAGAGGAGUGAAGCUUCACGGUAGGAUCGCAGUAUGUGACUCCAGGUUUUGUGCAGUUGCUUCACUUCUUAGAGCCUCUGCCUGAGGGAAAUACUGCCUACCUCCCAGAAUUGUUUUGAGGAUUAAAUGGACCACACAGCGUCCUGGAGUUCCCAUCGUGGUGCAGCGGAAAACGAAUCCGACUAGGAACCAUGAGGUUGAGGGUAUGAUCCCUGGCCUCGCUUAGUAGGUUAAGGAUCUAGCAUUGCUGUGAGCUGUGGUGUAGGUUGCGGACGCAGCUCAGAUCCUGCGUUGCUGUGGCUCUGGCAUAGGCCGGCAGCAACAGCUCCGAUUAGACCCCUAGCCUGGGAACCUCCAUAUGCCGCGAGUGAGGACCUAUAAAGGCAAAAAGGACAAAAAAAAAAGAUUCAAUCCAGGCGUUCCUGUGGUGGCGCAGCAGAAACAAUCCGACCAGGAACCAUGAGGUUGAGGGUUUGAUCCCUGGACUCGCUCAGUGGGUUAAGGAUCCAACGUUGCCAUGAGUUGUGGUGUGGGUCGCAGACGCUGCUCGGAUCUGGCGUUGCUGUGGCUGUGGUGUAGGCCGGCAGCUACAGCUCCAGUUAGACCCCUAGACUGGGAACCUCCAUAUCCAGGGAGCUUUACAUUUUUUUUACCCAGUUGUCAUUAAUCCCUCCAUAGCUGCACUUCAGUAUUAUUACUAUAACUUACUUUUGGCCUUGCCUACAGCAUGCAGGCAGUCUACAGCCAGGGAUGGAAACUGCAUCACUGCAGUGACCUGAGCCACAGCAGUGACAACACAGAAUCCUUAACUGCUAGGCCACCGGGGAACUCCAAAUAUUAUUUUAUUAUAGAAAAAAUUAUUCUCCUGUUGCUCUGGUCCUAGCCCCCCAGACACCACUCCCCCUGCCAAUACCCCAUUUUUUGAUUAAUGUUACCAUAAUUGAACUAAUCUCUCAAAUCAGAAAGUGAGGAAUCAAUUGACUUAAAAUCAGGGACUAAAUUCAUAAAACUCCCAACAAAUCUGGGAAAGAUCUAUGUGGCAGAGUAGCCUGGUGCUAGACCAGUAUGACUUGAAAAAACCAGGCCAUACUUUUAAACAAAAUCUAUACUUUCUUAUAUAUAUUUUUGCAGCUAUAGUAUAAUGUAUUAAAAACAAAACCUGCUAAAUACAAUGUGGUAUCUAGGAUUGGAUCCUGGAGCAGAAAAAGGGCAUUAGUUAGAAAACUGGUGGAAUCUAAAUAAAAUCUGAAAUUUAGUUAACAUUAAGGGCCAGAUGUUAAUCUCUUGGUUUUGACAAUCCCAGUUUUACGGAAGAUGUUAAAAUUAGAGGAAAUUAACUGAUGGAUAUGCAACUCUGUACUAUCUUUCUCUAAACCUGAAAUUAUUCAAAAGUAGAAAUUUUAUUGAGAAGUUCCCACUGUGGCACAAUAGGAUUGGCGGUGUCUCUGCAGUGCCAGGAUUGUAGGUCACAACUGUGGCUCAGAUCUGAUCCCUGGCCCAGGAACUCCAUAUGUUGUGGUGCAG